GACGAACCGGCCAAACGUUAUUCGGAAUCAUUGGGCUUAAAGGGUGCGUAGGCGGUGCGGUAAGUUGGGUGUGAAAUCCCUCGGCUCAACCGAGGAAUUGCGCCCAAUACUGCCGUGCUUGAGGGAGACAGAGGCGAGCGGAACUGAUGGCGGAGCGGUGAAAUGCGUUGAUAUCAUCAGGAACACCAGUGGCGAAAGCGGCUCGCUGGGUCUCUUCUGACGCUGAGGUACGAAAGCUAGGGGAGCGAACGGG
RNAcentral lists this unclassified non-coding RNA (253 nucleotides) under uncultured Pirellulaceae bacterium. RNAcentral's name for it is "contains 16S-23S intergenic spacer region". It matches the Rfam family "Bacterial small subunit ribosomal RNA", at positions 524 to 776 of the family's 1533-position model. The record is from RNAcentral. Lineage: Bacteria; Pseudomonadati; Planctomycetota; Planctomycetia; Pirellulales; Pirellulaceae.